This 253-nucleotide ribosomal RNA is filed under the name uncultured bacterium. Its description in RNAcentral is "partial 16S ribosomal RNA". It matches the Rfam family "Bacterial small subunit ribosomal RNA", at positions 524 to 776 of the family's 1533-position model. The record is from RNAcentral.
GACGAACCGAGCGAACGUUGUUCGGAAUCACUGGGCUUAAAGGGCGCGUAGGCGGGCUGUCAAGUUUGGGGUGAAAUCCCACGGCUCAACCGUGGAACUGCCUCAAAUACUGACGGUCUCGAGGGAGGUAGGGGCGAGCGGAACUGAUGGUGGAGCGGUGAAAUGCGUUGAUAUCAUCAGGAACUCCGGUGGCGAAGGCGGCUCGCUGGACCUCUUCUGACGCUGAGGCGCGAAAGCUAGGGGAGCAAACGGG